RNAcentral lists this ribosomal RNA (484 nucleotides) under uncultured bacterium. Its description in RNAcentral is "partial 16S ribosomal RNA". It matches the Rfam family "Bacterial small subunit ribosomal RNA", at positions 28 to 523 of the family's 1533-position model. The record is from RNAcentral.
GAUGAACGCUGGCGGCGUGCUUAACACAUGCAAGUCGAACGGUGAAGCAGGAGCUUGCUCUUGUGGAUCAGUGGCGAACGGGUGAGUAACACGUGAGCAACCUGCCCCUGACUCUGGGAUAAGCGCUGGAAACGGCGUCUAAUACUGGAUAUGUGAUGUGACCGCAUGGUCUGCAUCUGGAAAGAAUUUCGGUUGGGGAUGGGCUCGCGGCCUAUCAGCGUGUUGGUGAGGGAAUGGCUCACCAAGGCGUCGACGGGUAGCCGGCCUGUGAGGGGGACCGGCCACACUGGGACUGAGACACGGCACAGACUCCUACGGGAGGCAGCAGUGGGGAAUAUUGCACAAUGGGCGGAAGCCUGAUGCAGCAACGCCGCGUGAGGGAUGACGGCCUUCGGGUUGUAAACCUCUUUUAGCAGGGAAGAAGCGAAAGUGACGGUACCUGCAGAAAAAGCACCGGCUAACUACGUGCCAGCCGCCGCCGUAA